GUGCCAGCCGCCGCGGUAAUACGAAGGUCCCAAGCGUUGUUCGGAAUCACUGGGCGUAAAGGGAGCGUAGGCGGCGUGGUAAGUCAGAUGUGAAAUCCCGGGGCUCAACCCCGGAACUGCAUCCGAUACUGCCGUGCUUGAGGGUUGAAGAGGUAGCUGGAAUUAUCGGUGUAGCAGUGAAAUGCGUGGAUAUCGAUAGGAACACUCGUGGCGAAGGCGAGCUACUGGACAACAUCUGACGCUGAGGCUCGAAGGCUAGGGGAGCAAAAGGGAUUAGAUACCCCCGUAGUCC
This 292-nucleotide ribosomal RNA is filed under the name uncultured bacterium. Its description in RNAcentral is "partial 16S ribosomal RNA". It matches the Rfam family "Bacterial small subunit ribosomal RNA", at positions 505 to 796 of the family's 1533-position model. The record is from RNAcentral.